This 253-nucleotide ribosomal RNA is filed under the name uncultured bacterium. RNAcentral describes it as "partial 16S ribosomal RNA". It matches the Rfam family "Bacterial small subunit ribosomal RNA", at positions 524 to 776 of the family's 1533-position model. The record is from RNAcentral.
UACAGAGGAUGCAAGCGUUAUCCGGAAUGAUUGGGCGUAAAGCGUCUGUAGGUGGCUUUUUAAGUCCGCCGUCAAAUCCCAGGGCUCAACUCUGGACAGGCGGUGGAAACUACCAAGCUGGAGUACGGUAGGGGCAGAGGGAAUUUCCGGUGGAGCGGUGAAAUGCGUAGAGAUCGGAAAGAACACCAACGGCGAAAGCGGCACUCUGGGCCGGUACUGACGCUGAGGAGCGAAAGCGUGGGGAGCGAACAGG